UCAGUUGUAGAACGUGCUUCCUAUCUUCCGGACGUGUCAGGAAAAAGCUUUUUCGUUUCGAAAAACUUCUACUAUUGCCGUUGUUUUGGGUUAAAAGCAUUUUAGUAUUCCCACGGCUCUUAGUUGUCACUGUCACUUUAAGUUCGUGACUCCUUACGUGUUUAUCCUUUUAAAUCAAAUUCAGUCGCGUGUUGACUGUCAACCAACCAAGUUGUUGGUUGCGGUGAUUUGAUCCUAAAAAAGUGAAGAUAUAAAAUUCAGAUCCUGAAGGCCCGUACAAAAAAAGACAAAAAGUAAAUAAACAUUCAAAGCACUUCUGCAGGUCUUAAAAAAAAAGCAAGUCUUGAAAAAAAAAAAAAAAAUAAAACUCAUUCAAUGAGGCAAAAAGUGAACAAAAAACUACAAAAACAAUGUUUCUAGCUUUAAAUCAAAUUUGGCUUUCGUCCAAGCGAAAAAACGACCUAAACCAACCCCAGCAGUCUUUUCAACCUCAACCCCAUCAACCAGAAGCCCAUCAACAAACAGCUACAGCAACAACAACAACCACAGCAACAGCAGCAACAUCAUCAGCAUCAACAACAACGGAAUUUGAAAGAUCUACUGCGAUGGCAGCAGCAGCAGCAGCAUCAGCAAUGGCGACAGACAACCAAUUGCGAAUGGGGUCGACUAUGUCCUUCCCAUCAACAACAACUUCCGGUCGGAGUAAUGCGCUCAAUGCGGCGGCCACCACUGCUGAUUUCCACCAUGGACUAAAAACUACUACGAAAAGUGAAAACAAAUACCACCAUCAUGUCCGCGAGGGUGAUGAUGGUGGUGGUGAUGAUGUUGGUGGUGGAAGAAUUGGUCAUGGAAACGAUGAUGACACAAUGAAACUAGAAUCCAGAAUUCAACUAUUGAACAUGGAUGCUUUGAAUGUUGGUCGCGUCUCGUGCCAAUGCAAUAGCAAAUGUGUAAAUAAGGACCCUGAUAAAAUAGCCCCUGGAAAUCGAAAUCAAAAUCAAAAUCGAAAUCGAAAUAGUGACAAUGUUGGUGGUAUUGGUGCUAUUGGUAGUAGUGAUGUUAUUGGCUCGCAUAUAUUCCUCGGCGCUAUUUUACUAUGUGUAACAUCGAUGGCGGUGAUUUUAUAUUCGCACGUGAAUAGUAGUGAAACAGACGUGUUAUGGUUUAGAGAGAAUUUUCGCAAUGAACUGUUAGAAAAUAAGCAGGUGCUGCGAUCGAUUGUGAUGCAGAUAAUUAGGGAUAAUCAAGUCCUUCUGAGUGACAGCAGCAGCAGCAGCAGUAAUUAUUACUCAUCUCCACCCACAUUGACUAGGAAAUAUCAAAGCACAACGCUGCCUUACGAUGAUGCUAUUGCAGCUACAACCCAAGUGGUUAAGAACGAACGAAAGUACUCGAGUAGCUUCGCCAGACGAAAACGCAGAGAUAUCGCCUCCUCUUCAAUGCAUGCUGAGCCAUUUAUUGAAUUCUUCAAUCCAAAUCAUCGUAAGGUUCUGGAGGAGCAAGAUGUUGAAAUAAGAAAACGAACUGGACUCAAAGGUGCAGCACCAGGUGGUGACGAUUGGAUUUAUUUGAACACUUAUUGUCGAGUGCCGGAAAAAAUCAUUACUGGAUUUUGUAAAGGCACACAAGAAUACUGUCCACCAAGUCCGCGAGGACCACCUGGUCUACUUGGUCCUAAAGGACCUGUUGGUCCUCCCGGCUUACCAGGAAUUCCCGGUCCAAAGGGAAAUCGUGGCGAUGUUGGAAUACCAGGCCCACCAGGAAUUGAUGGUAUGGAAGGACCGCCUGGAGCUAGGGGACCAAAAGGCGAUAUUGGUAUCCCUGGUGGUUCUGGUCUCGAUGGUCGAGAUGGUGUGCCAGGUGAACCUGGUUUGGAUGGAGUUCCAGGGAGGGCUGGCAAAGAUGGAAUUCCGGGUAAGGAUGGCAAAGAUGGGCAACCAGGCAGAGAUGGACGUGAUGGGUUGAAUGGAAAGGAUGGUGCUCAAGGACCGAAAGGAGCAUCUGGCCCACCGGGAGAGAGAGGCUUAAAAGGUAUUGCCGGUCCUCGAGGUCGUCCCGGAAAGCCCGGCACUAAUGGAACACCUGGCAUCCCGGGCAUAAACGCAUGGAAAGUUAAAGUUAAUGGCACCUAUUCAAGUGAACUGCUCAUUCCGCCAUCGAUUGCAGAUAUCAAUGCACCUGAUAUCCAAAGGACCAUCAUUGUCGAGGAAGGGAAGAACCUACGCUUGGCUUGUGCAGCACACGGAAACCCCCAGCCGCAUGUCGAGUGGCGUCGUGGCGAUGGUCGAACCAUUGCUCUCGAGAGGGAAGAGUUAUCUUCAGUAAGCGGAGAAACAUUACAAAUCAGCAAUGUCAGUAGGAAUCACAUGGCGCCCUACACCUGUUUUGCAGACAACGGGAUACCGCCAGUAGCAAAUGCCACAUUCCUAGUGGAAGUUCACUUUUCACCGAUGAUAGCCGUUUACAGGCAACUUGUGUUUGCAUUAGAGGGUGGCAGUGCAACGCUGGAGUGUCAGGUUGAAGCCUUCCCCGAAGCAAUCCGAUAUUGGGAACGUGUAUCCGAUGGUAAACUGCUUGAUCCUGGUGAAAAGUAUCGAAUCGAAACAUAUCCUGAUGGAUAUAAAACAACUAUGCGUUUAACAAUUAACAAUCUGAACUUCAUGGACUUUGGACAGUAUUUCUGUGUGGCCAAAAAUGAACUCAACACAACUAUGGCAUCGUUCGAAAUAAUUAAGAAAAAUCCUGCCCUUGAAACACCAAUGAUACGUAACGAACUGAAGGUCUUCGGUAGUAAGCCACCAGAAAGUUCAUGUCCACCACCGCCAGUCUGCAAUGAGUGUCCUGAUCCUAGCGAAUAUCAGUGCAAGGACGAUAUCAGUUCCAAUUUCGAUAUUCAACCAACAGCGAAUUACAGUUAUCCAGGAUUACCAAAACGAGAAACAAGUUGUCUUCUCUAUGCAGUUGGUAAGCCGGUUUUCCAUAAAUCUAUCGAUGAGACCUAUGGAUCUUGGCUAAAGGAUGCCGCCGCUAAGCCCAGGGACAAAGAGAAAAUAUAUGUAACGAGAGAAAACGUUACGAAUCGUCUGUACGAAUUCUCCAAUAAAAUGGAAUAUCGUGGAAGCAGUCUUUCCAGCAAAUAUUAUGAGAUAAAAGAAGGAUUUAUGGGAAACGCACAUGUAGUCUUCAAUGGAUCCUUCUAUUACAACCAGGAAAACACCGAAAUCGUUGUCAAAUUGGAUUUGGCAACUUUGAAGAGAACAACAACUAAGCUCCCCCACACAGGACUAUCAACCGGAAAUAAGUUAUACACAACCAACUACAACUACAUGGACUUUAAUGUGGACGAUGUAGGACUAUGGAUUAUCUACAGUACCUACGACUCCAAUAAUACUCUCGUGGUUAAGAUGGACGCAGAAAGUCUUCAAAUUCAAUACAGCUGGAAUAUCACAUUGGAUCAUCAUAAAUUCGGUGAGAUGUUCAUUGUGUGCGGGGUAUUGUAUGCUAUUGAUUCUACGACAGAAAGGAAUUCCCAAAUUCAUGUUGCCGUCGAUCUUUAUAAUGGGAAAUUGAUAAAAGUCGACUUGCCAUUUUCGAAUCCUUUCCGAAGGACCACCACAGUUGGAUACAAUCGUCAUCUUGGGCUCAACUCUAACUGAAGAAAAAGAUAUCAAUUUGAUGGCUGAGUAUUUUUUUGCAACCCUCGCACAAAAAAAAAAAACUAAAAUUUUCAAAUGCGCAACAACUAAACAAACAUUCAGACAAACGAAAUUAAAGUGAUGUCGCCAGAAGAAGAAAUUGAAUUCAAAAUUAAGACCUGAUUUCGAAUCCCUCAAGUGUUGUUAUCUUUCCAAAAUGUCCCCCCAUGAAGAUGAAGAAAUCCGUUCUAUCAACGAAAAAAGGACUCUUGUGUUGGAUACUUGGUAGCCACAUCUCGAACACACAACCAACAGUCAGACAUGUUCUAUUGUUUUUAUGGGAAUUGUACUCUUGGGACAAAGGCAAUCAGCUUACCUAUCCAAUCCGAUAUAACGAACAGACUGUCGAACCGGACGACAUUAAUAGCAAGCACAGUGAUUUUAUCAA
Episyrphus balteatus (marmalade hoverfly) is the source of this 4083-nucleotide RNA transcript. RefSeq lists it as uncharacterized. The record is from RefSeq and is a predicted model, not a curated record. The transcript is spliced from 19 exons. Lineage: Eukaryota; Metazoa; Arthropoda; Insecta; Diptera; Syrphidae.